Molecule: long non-coding RNA, 525 nt
Filed under: Coturnix japonica (Japanese quail)
Lineage: Eukaryota; Metazoa; Chordata; Aves; Galliformes; Phasianidae
Description: lncRNA (ENSCJPG00005000199.1)
Source: RNAcentral
AUGGUUAGAGUGUGAGCAGACAGCAAAACUGGCUGUGACAAAAACUUGCUGGUCUCCUCCAGCCUAUGAGAUGUGAGCGACUCCCGUCAUAAAAGAAAGACAUUUUGGAAGGGAAAGACAAUGGCAUCUACAAUGUGUCCCUGUGUCUGAAAGACAUUAAUUACUUGGCGGAGGAUCAGGCUGCUCGUCUUCUCCUGGGCAGGAUGAGAAUGGUGCUGGAUCUCCUCUGCUUUCACCAACACUGCAUGAGGAGGACCAAGGCAAGAACUGAAGAACACCUCUCUGUCCGCCUUACACAGUCUGUGACAAAAGAAUCCCGCCACUGUUAUAUCAUUGGAAUAUCUUUUGAAGAAAGAUGAGACAAGCAACAAGUUAUGGCUAAUUCUUCUAGCUUAAACUCAGGGAUAAACACUGACUUUGGUUGUAAUCCAUGAAACUGAAGGAUUUUCUCAUGCUUUUUGCAGAUGUUUAACUGGUGUAAGGUAACAUAUAUUUUCCAGAAAUAAAAAUGUAGCCGAGAUUCCA